GAUGAACGCUGGCGGCGUGCCUAAUACAUGCAAGUCGAGCGAACAGAUAAGGAGCUUGCUCCUUUGACGUUAGCGGCGGACGGGUGAGUAACACGUGGGUAACCUACCUAUAAGACUGGAAUAACUCCGGGAAACCGGGGCUAAUGCCGGAUAACAUUUAGAACCGCAUGGUUCUAAAGUGAAAGAUGGUUUUGCUAUCACUUAUAGAUGGACCCGCGCCGUAUUAGCUAGUUGGUAAGGUAACGGCUUACCAAGGCAACGAUACGUAGCCGACCUGAAAGGGUGAUCGGCCACACUGGAACUGAGACACGGUCCAGACUCCUACGGGAGGCAGCAGUAGGGAAUCUUCCGCAAUGGGCGAAAGCCUGACGGAGCAACGCCGCGUGAGUGAUGAAGGUCUUCGGAUCGUAAAACUCUGUUAUUAGGGAAGAACAAAUGUGUAAGUAACUGUGCACGUCUUGACGGUACCUAAUCAGAAAGCCACGGCUAACUACGUG
This 497-nucleotide ribosomal RNA is filed under the name uncultured bacterium. RNAcentral's name for it is "partial 16S ribosomal RNA". It matches the Rfam family "Bacterial small subunit ribosomal RNA", at positions 28 to 507 of the family's 1533-position model. The record is from RNAcentral.